RNAcentral lists this ribosomal RNA (425 nucleotides) under uncultured bacterium. RNAcentral describes it as "partial 16S ribosomal RNA". It matches the Rfam family "Bacterial small subunit ribosomal RNA", at positions 354 to 796 of the family's 1533-position model. The record is from RNAcentral.
GUGGGGAAUCUUGCGCAAUGGGCGAAAGCCUGACGCAGCCAUGCCGCGUGAAUGAUGAAGGUCUUAGGAUUGUAAAAUUCUUUCACCGGGGACGAUAAUGACGGUACCCGGAGAAGAAGCCCCGGCUAACUUCGUGCCAGCAGCCGCGGUAAUACGAAGGGGGCUAGCGUUGCUCGGAAUUACUGGGCGUAAAGGGCGCGUAGGCGGACAGUUUAGUCAGAGGUGAAAGCCCAGGGCUCAAACUUGGAAUUGCCUUUGAUACUGGCUGUCUUGAGUACGGGAGAGGUGAGUGGAACUCCGAGUGUAGAGGUGAAAUUCGUAGAUAUUCGGAAGAACACCAGUGGCGAAGGCGACUCACUGGCCCGUUACUGACGCUGAGGCGCGAAAGCGUGGGGAGCAAACAGGAUUAGAAACCCCUGUAGUCC